This is a long non-coding RNA of Oncorhynchus mykiss (rainbow trout), 1484 nucleotides long. NCBI's taxonomy places the organism in Eukaryota, Metazoa, Chordata, Actinopteri, Salmoniformes, Salmonidae. The record is from Ensembl.
UGGGGGACAGGAGAGAGAAAGGCUUCGCAGUGGGGGACAGGAGAGAAAGGCAUCACAGUGGGGGACAGGAGAGAGAAAGGCAUCACAGUGGGGGACAGGAGAGAGAAAGGCAUCACAGUGGGGGAGAGAGAAAGGCAUCGCAGUGGGGGACAGGAGAGAGAAAGGCAUCACAGUGGGGGACAGGAGAGAGAAAGGCAUCACAGUGGGGGAGAGAGAAAGGCAUCGCAGUGGAGGGGAGGAGAGAGAAAGGCAUCGCAGUGGGGGGGGGGAGAGAGAAAGGCAUCGCAGUGGGGGGGAGGAGAGAGAAGGGCAUCGCAGUGGGGGGGAGGAGAGAGAAGGACAUCGCAGUGGGGGGGGGAGAGAGAAGGGCAUCGCAGUGGGGGAGAGGAGAGAGCAGGUCAUCGCAGUGGGGGGGAGGAGAGAGAAGGGCAUCGCAGUGGGGGGGGAGAGAAGGGCAUCGCAGUGGGGAUGAGGAGAGAGAAGGGCAUCGCAGUGGAGGAGAGAGAAAGGCAUCGCAGUGGAGGAGAGAGAAAGGCAUCGCAGUGGAGGAGAGAGAAAGGCAUCACAGUGGAGGAGAGGAGAGAGAAAGGCAUCGCAGUGGAGGAGAGGAGAGAGAAAGGCAUCGCAGUGGAGGAGAGGAGAGAGAAGGGCAUCGCAGUGGAGGAGAGGAGAGAGAAGGGCAUCGCAGUGGAGGAGAGGAGAGAGAAGGGCAUCACAGGGGAGGAGAGGAGAGAGAAGGGCAUCGCAGGGGAGGAGGAGAGAGAAGGGCAUCGCAGUGGGGGGGAGGAGAGAGAAAGGCAUCGCAGUGGGGGACAAGAGAGAGAAAGGCAUCGCAGUGGGGGACAGGAGAGAGAAGGGCAUCGCAGUGGGGGACAGGAGAGAGAAAGGCAUCGCAGUGGGGGGGAGGAGAGAGAAGGGCAUCGCAGUGGGGCGGAGGAGAGAGAAGGGCAUCGCAGUGGGGGGGAGGAGAGAGAAGGGCAUCGCAGUGGGGGGAGGAGAGAGAAGGGCAUCGCAGUGGAGGAGAGAGAAAGGCAUCGCAGUGUAUGAGAGAGAAAGGCAUCUCAGUGGAGGAGAGAGAAAGGCAUCGCAGUGGAGGAGAGAGAAAGGCAUCACAGUGGAGGAGAGGAGAGAGAAGGGCAUCGCAGUGGAGGAGAGGAGAGAGAAGGGCAUCACAGGGGAGGAGAGGAGAGAGAAGGGCAUCGCAGGGGAGGAGGAGAGAGAAGGGCAUCGCAGUGGGGGGGAGGAGAGAGAAAGGCAUCGCAGUGGGGGACAAGAGAGAGAAAGGCAUCGCAGUGGGGGACAGGAGAGAGAAGGGCAUCGCAGUGGGGGACAGGAGAGAGAAAGGCAUCGCAGUGGGGGGGAGGAGAGAGAAGGGCAUCGCAGUGGGGCGGAGGAGAGAGAAGGGCAUCGCAGUGGGGGGGAGGAGAGAGAAGGGCAUCGCAGUGGGGGGAGGAGAGAGAAGGGCAUCGCAGUGGAGGAGAGAG